This 929-nucleotide ribosomal RNA is filed under the name Cyclommatus mniszechi. RNAcentral's name for it is "partial 16S ribosomal RNA". The stretch from base 415 to 602 matches the Rfam family "Archaeal large subunit ribosomal RNA", at positions 1804 to 2099 of the family's 2987-position model. The record is from RNAcentral. Lineage: Eukaryota; Metazoa; Arthropoda; Insecta; Coleoptera; Lucanidae.
AUUCCCGAAUUUAGGAGAGCUAAUUAUAAAAAUAUUUUAAUGUUGAAAAAUUACUUAUAAUUUAUAAUUAGGGGCUAUAUGUUAGUCAAUCUUUAAUAUAUCUGGUUUUCUAAGAAAUUAAUUUAAUUAAUUUUAUUAAAUAAAUAAUUCUAUUCAUGGAUUUGUUUUUUGAUAAAUUAAGUUUUAAGGGGAUAAGCUUUUGAAAUUAUUUUUAUAAAUAUAAAAUGAACAUUAAUUAAGUAGGAUUAGUAGUUUCCAUUUUUAAUAGAGUUUAAUAACCAAUUUUUUUAAUAGUUUAAUUUUUUUUAUUUUAGAUUUUUUAUUAGAAUAAUUUAUUUAAUUAAAUAUUAUAUUUAAUAAUGAUAGAAUUAGUAAAUUUAUUGUAUAAGUAAUUUAUUUAUUAAAUAUUUUAUUAAGGAAUUCGGCAAAUAAAUUUUCCGCCUGUUUAAUAAAAACAUGUCUUUUUGUAUAAUAUAUUAAGUCUGGCCUGCCCAAUGAUUUUAUUCAAUGGCCGCGGUAUUUUGACCGUGCAAAGGUAGCAUAAUCAUUAGUUUUUUAAUUGAAAGCUGGAAUGAAUGGUUUGACGAGAAAAUUACUGUCUCUUUAAGAUAAUUUGAAUUUUAUUUUUUAGUUAAAAAGCUUAAAUAUUUAUAAGGGACGAGAAGACCCUAUAGAAUUUUAUAAUUUAAAUUUUAAUUUUUUAUAGUUUAAGUUGAUUAUUAUAGUUUAAAUUAUUUUGUUGGGGCGACAGGAAAAUUUAUUUAACUUUUUUUUUUUAUUUACAUUAAUUAGUGAAUUUUUGAUCCAAUUUUAUUGAUUAUAAGAGGAAAUUACCUUAGGGAUAACAGCGUUAUUAAUUUGGAGAGUUCAUAUCGAUAAAUUAGUUUGCGACCUCGAUGUUGGAUUAAAAUUAUGUUUAGGUGGAGAUG